AUGAACGCUGGCGGCGUGCCUAAUACAUGCAAGUCGCGCGAACAGACGAGGAGCUUGCUCCUCUGACGUUAGCGGCGGACGGGUGAGUAACACGUGGAUAACCUACCUAUAAGACUGGGAUAACUUCGGGAAACCGGAGCUAAUACCGGAUAAUAUAUUGAACCGCAUGGUUCAAUAGUGAAAGACGGUUUUGCUGUCACUUAUAGAUGGAUCCGCGCCGCAUUAGCUAGUUGGUAAGGUAACGGCUUACCAAGGCAACGAUGCGUAGCCGACCUGAGAGGGUGAUCGGCCACGCUGGAACUGAGACACGGUCCAGACUCCUACGGGAGGCAGCAGUAGGGAAUCUUCCGCAAUGGGCGAAAGCCUGACGGAGCAACGCCGCGUGAGUGAUGAAGGUCUUCGGAUCGUAAAACUCUGUUAUUAGGGAAGAACAAAUGUGUAAGUAACUAUGCACGUUUUGACGGUACCUAAUCAGAAAGCCACGGCUAACUACGUG
Molecule: ribosomal RNA, 496 nt
Filed under: uncultured bacterium
Lineage: Bacteria
Description: partial 16S ribosomal RNA
Rfam family: Bacterial small subunit ribosomal RNA
Source: RNAcentral